GCCUCCCUAGGUUUCCUGUCUGGCAGAUGCAGAGUGGCCUCUUGAUCCACAGGGAGACCCCAGUUUCUUACUGUAUCCAGCCAAGCCCCUGAGCAUCUCCCUGUGCCAGUGUUCUCCUCCUCCACUGGGAUGGGGCCCAGGCAUUGGCUCCCCAAACUGUUCCAAUUAAAGAAGGAGCCUGUUUUUGAUGUCAGCCACCUGGGAAGGGGAAGCAAGACCCAUCUGUCCUUCUAGCCCCCUGUUACAUGGACAUUCUCAAGUUCAAACAGGGUCCAGCCUCCUUCCUGGUCUUCGCAGAUGUAUUUACUUAAGAUGAAGCUGUUCAAUAGCCGCUGUCCUUAUAAGAACACGGAAACACAGAAGAGGGUCAUUCGAAGACCAAGAGAAGGGCUAAAGCAGAGCUGAAAGCGCGGCACACAUGGGCCAGAGAUUGCUCAAAGCCACCAGCAGCUGGAAGAGGCAAAGAAGGAUUCCUGCCUAGAGGAGUGGCCCAGCUAAUGCUUUGAUUCUGGACACUAAGCCUCCAGAAAUAGGGGGCAAUAAAUCACUGUCAUCUCUAAA
Molecule: long non-coding RNA, 561 nt
Organism: Peromyscus eremicus (cactus mouse)
Lineage: Eukaryota; Metazoa; Chordata; Mammalia; Rodentia; Cricetidae
Exons: 2
Source: RefSeq, a predicted model, not a curated record